Molecule: ribosomal RNA, 449 nt
Filed under: uncultured bacterium
Lineage: Bacteria
Description: partial 16S ribosomal RNA
Rfam family: Bacterial small subunit ribosomal RNA
Source: RNAcentral
GUCGAGAAUCUUUCACAAUGGGGGCAACCCUGAUGGAGCGACGCCGCGUGGAGGAUAAGGUCUUCGGAUUGUAAACUCCUGUCAUGCGUGAACAAGGUUGCUUGGUUAAUACCUGGGCAAAUUGAUGGUAACGCAAGAGGAAGAGACGGCUAACUCUGUGCCAGCAGCCGCGGUAAUACAGAGGUCUCAAGCGUUGUUCGGAAUCACUGGGCGUAAAGGGUGCGUAGGUGGCGUGGUAAGUCAGAUGUGAAAGCCCGGGGCUCAACCUCGGAACUGCAUACGAUACUGCCAUGCUAGAGUACUGGAGAGGUGACUAGAAUUCUCGGUGUAGCAGUGAAAUGCGUAGAUAUCGAGAGGAAUACCAAAGGCGUAGGCAGGUCACUGGACAGUUACUGACACUGAGGCACGAAGGCCAGGGGAGCGAACGGGAUUAGAAACCCGGGUAGUCC